Molecule: ribosomal RNA, 251 nt
Filed under: Dothideomycetes sp.
Lineage: Eukaryota; Fungi; Ascomycota; Dothideomycetes
Description: partial small subunit ribosomal RNA
Source: RNAcentral
GUGGCGAGCUCGAGUAACGUUGAGCCGUCGCAACGCGCGCAAAGGAGUGGGCACCGACGGUGCUUAAGGUACGUGCUAUCCGCUGGGUAACCAGUCUCUUGUAUCAAGGCCCGGUAGGCCAAAAUACGAGAGGGCGGGUUUGUAUCACUGAUGCAAAGAUCCGCUGGAUGUCCGUGGGUAGAAAUACUCAUGGACAAUAUGCUGUGAUGCCCUUAGAUGUUCUGGGCCGCACGCGCGCUACACUGACAGAG